Molecule: ribosomal RNA, 426 nt
Filed under: Triticum aestivum (bread wheat)
Lineage: Eukaryota; Viridiplantae; Streptophyta; Magnoliopsida; Poales; Poaceae
Description: partial small subunit ribosomal RNA
Source: RNAcentral
AUGAUGCUUUUGAAUUUAUCCAGAAAGAAAGAUUGGAUUUACAGCUUUGUAUUUUGUUUUACUGAGGAAACUGGAAGGAGCUCUGCUUAUUCUCUGUUAGCAGAAGAGAAAACCAUAAUUAUAGUGGUUGCUCGCUUUUCAACAGUAACACCACAGAGUUCACAUGCAGACUACUCCCAACACUGCAUUGCACACUUACACUUCAUAGAGUCGCUCUGUCGGGGUCAAUCAAGUCCUCAUUGGGCACACUCCACAGACCAAAAGAUAUCACCAAGGUGGACGGGGGCACUCAUUCUGGCCACCGUGAGAAUCCAAUUCUCGCCUUCUAAUACCUUAUUCACUAUUCUCUUUUUCCUGGAUGCCAGUUCAUACAGGCCCAAGGUGCAGUCGCAGAGAGGGAUCCUCCAACCCAAUUGCUCUGCAUAA